RNAcentral lists this long non-coding RNA (365 nucleotides) under Physcomitrium patens. RNAcentral describes it as "long non-coding RNA (PPAT_LNC010282)". Lineage: Eukaryota; Viridiplantae; Streptophyta; Bryopsida; Funariales; Funariaceae. The record is from RNAcentral.
AUAUACUCUUGUUUUUAUGUGUAUGUAUGAAUAUUACUUCCAACUACUCUUGUGUCUUUUCAAACAUUCUCAACACGUUAUCAACACAAUUGCUCUUGUAUUCUAAUCUUGAUUCUUAAAAACUUAUAUGCACCUUGCUCUUUGACUUCUUCUCAUUUUUUUUUCUACCCUAAAGUUGUUGAAUCCUAGUAUUGCUAAAACUUGUUGUUGCUGAAUUCUACUAUUGUUAAACCUUGUUGUUGUUGCGCUAUGGUAUUGCUGCACCUUAUUGCUACUGAGCCUUGUACCCUAGUGUUGUUACGCCUUACUUGCGGUCAAACUGCCAUACCUUGCCACCGAUUGCCAUUGUACUACUACUACUGCAC